This 494-nucleotide ribosomal RNA is filed under the name uncultured bacterium. RNAcentral describes it as "partial 16S ribosomal RNA". It matches the Rfam family "Bacterial small subunit ribosomal RNA", at positions 28 to 507 of the family's 1533-position model. The record is from RNAcentral.
GACGAACGCUGGCGGCGUGCUUAACACAUGCAAGUCGAACGGUGAAGCGCCUUCCUUUUUGGUGGGUGUGGAUGAGUGGCGAACGGGUGAGUAACACGUGAGUAACCUGCCCCCUUCUUCUGGAUAACCGCAUGAAGGUGUGGCUAAUACGGGAUAUUCUGGGUCUGUCGCAUGAUGGGUCUGGGAAAGAUAUUGUUUCGGUGGGGGAUGGGCUCGCGGCCUAUCAGCUUGUUGGUGGGGUGAUGGCCUACCAAGGCGGUGACGGGUAGCCGGCCUGAGAGGGCGGACGGUCACACUGGGACUGAGACACGGCCCAGACUCCGACGGGAGGCAGCAGUGGGGAAUAGUGCACAAUGGGCGAAAGCCUGAUGCAGCGACGCCGCGUGAGGGAUGGAGGCCUUCGGGUUGUGAACCUCUUUCGCCAGUGAAGCAGGCCUGCCUCGUUUGUGGGUGGGUUGACGGUAGCUGGAUAAGAAGCGCCGGCUAACUACGUG